GUGCUACUCCCUCCGUCCAAAAUUCUUGUCUUAGAUUUGACUAGAUACGGAUGUAUCUAAUACUAAAACGUGACUUGAUAGAUUCGUAUCUAGACAAAUCUAAGACAAGAAUUUUGGGACGGAGGGGGUAUUUC
Molecule: non-coding RNA, 134 nt
Organism: Triticum aestivum (bread wheat)
Lineage: Eukaryota; Viridiplantae; Streptophyta; Magnoliopsida; Poales; Poaceae
Source: Rfam